GGAUGGGUGGCCGAGCGGUUUAAGGCACCGGUCUUGAAAACCGGCGUAGGGUCAAACCUACCGUGGGUUCGAAUCCCACCCCAUCCGCCA
Molecule: transfer RNA, 90 nt
Filed under: Magnetospirillum sp. UT-4
Lineage: Bacteria; Pseudomonadati; Pseudomonadota; Alphaproteobacteria; Rhodospirillales; Rhodospirillaceae
Description: tRNA-Ser
Rfam family: tRNA
About the family: Transfer RNA (tRNA) molecules are approximately 80 nucleotides in length. Their secondary structure includes four short double-helical elements and three loops (D, anti-codon, and T loops).
Source: RNAcentral